CCUACGGGGGGCAGCAGUAGGGAAUCUUCCACAAUGGGCGCAAGCCUGAUGGAGCAACACCGCGUGAGUGAAGAAGGGUUUCGGCUCGUAAAGCUCUGUUGUUAGAGAAGAACGUUCGUGAGAGUAACUGUUCACGCAUUGACGGUAUCCAACCAGAAAGGCACGGCUAACUACGUGCCAGCAGCCGCGGUAAUACGUAGGUGGCAAGCGUUGUCCGGUUUUAUUGGGCGUAAAGCGAGCGGAGGCGGGCGUUUAGGUCUGAUGUGAAAGCCUUCGGCUUAACCGAAGAAGUGCAUCGGAUACUGGCAGACUUGAGUGCAGAAGAGGAAAGUGGAAUUCCAGGUGUAGCGGUGGAAUGCGUAGAUAUAUGGAAGAACACCAGUGGCGAAGGCGGCUGUCUGGUCUGCAACUGACGCUGAGGCUCGAAAGCAUGGGUAGCGAACAGGAUUAGAUACCCGAGUAGUC
This 465-nucleotide ribosomal RNA is filed under the name uncultured bacterium. Its description in RNAcentral is "partial 16S ribosomal RNA". It matches the Rfam family "Bacterial small subunit ribosomal RNA", at positions 338 to 795 of the family's 1533-position model. The record is from RNAcentral.